This 226-nucleotide unclassified non-coding RNA is filed under the name Melitaea cinxia (Glanville fritillary). Its description in RNAcentral is "misc RNA ENSMCXG00005006391.1". Lineage: Eukaryota; Metazoa; Arthropoda; Insecta; Lepidoptera; Nymphalidae. The record is from RNAcentral.
GGUUUUUACUGAGUAGUCCGGCAUUGCACUCCCCGCCGGGAGUCUCAGACUUCCGUCGCCUUCGGGUGACGGGGGUGCGUAAAUGCAUUUUCCAGCGAAAAAAAAAAAAAAAAAAAAAAAAAAAAAAAGCGUAAAAAAAAAAAAAAAAAAAAAAAAAAAAAAAAAAAAAAAAAAAAAAAAAAAAAAAAAAAAAAAAAAAAAAAAAAAAGGUUAGGUUCCCAGGCCU